Molecule: ribosomal RNA, 253 nt
Filed under: uncultured bacterium
Lineage: Bacteria
Description: partial 16S ribosomal RNA
Rfam family: Bacterial small subunit ribosomal RNA
Source: RNAcentral
UACGAGGGGUCCAAGCGUUGUUCGGAAUCAUUGGGCGUAAAGCGGGUGUAGGUGGCUUUGUAAGUCAGGAGUGAAAGCCCUAGGCUCAACCUAGGAAGUGCUUUUGAUACUGCGGAGCUUGAAUGUGGGAGAGGAUCGUGGAAUUCCAGGUGUAGUGGUGAAAUACGUAGAUAUCUGGAGGAACACCGGUGGCGAAGGCGGCUAUCUGGACAGAGUCUGACGCUGAGGCGCGAAAGCUAGGGGAGCAAACAGG